UCCCUCUCGUGCCGUGUGGAACGCAAUAGAUAGCAAAGGGAACCACAUUAUCCUAUGACUCGUUCUCCUAGUAUCCGGGCCCCGGCCGGCUUGUUUUUCGACUCGACUGACUGAAGUGGAUAAGUGACGGA
Molecule: non-coding RNA, 131 nt
Organism: Caenorhabditis elegans
Lineage: Eukaryota; Metazoa; Nematoda; Chromadorea; Rhabditida; Rhabditidae
Source: Ensembl